AAGACUAUACUUUCAGGGAUCAUUUCUAUAGUUUGUUACUAGAGAAGUUUCUCUGAAGUUGUAGGGUACCCAAGACCACGAGGAGGAGGCGUAGUAUUCCUUCCUGAGCGUGAAGCUGAUCCUGAGUGUUGUGUAUGCAGCAGCUCUUGAUCAUUGAUGAUCGUUCUUCCUCUGUCUUGUAGAGGUUAGAGGGGAGGAAUACCGUCUGAGUGG
Molecule: small nucleolar RNA, 213 nt
Filed under: Mustela putorius furo (domestic ferret)
Lineage: Eukaryota; Metazoa; Chordata; Mammalia; Carnivora; Mustelidae
Description: Small nucleolar RNA U3 (ENSMPUG00000021607.1)
Rfam family: Small nucleolar RNA U3
About the family: Small nucleolar RNAs (snoRNAs) are involved in the processing and modification of rRNA in the nucleolus. There are two main classes of snoRNAs: the box C/D class, and the box H/ACA class.
Source: RNAcentral